CGGCGGACGGGUGAGUAAUGCCUAGGAAUCUGCCUGGUAGUGGGGGACAACGUUUCGAAAGGAACGCUAAUACCGCAUACGUCCUACGGGAGAAAGCAGGGGACCUUCGGGCCUUGCGCUAUCAGAUGAGCCUAGGUCGGAUUAGCUAGUUGGUGAGGUAAUGGCUCACCAAGGCGACGAUCCGUAACUGGUCUGAGAGGAUGAUCAGUCACACUGGAACUGAGACACAGUCCAGACUCCUACGGGAGGCAGCAGGG
Molecule: ribosomal RNA, 257 nt
Filed under: uncultured Pseudomonas sp.
Lineage: Bacteria; Pseudomonadati; Pseudomonadota; Gammaproteobacteria; Pseudomonadales; Pseudomonadaceae
Description: partial 16S ribosomal RNA
Rfam family: Bacterial small subunit ribosomal RNA
Source: RNAcentral